Molecule: ribosomal RNA, 1150 nt
Filed under: Liquorilactobacillus mali
Lineage: Bacteria; Bacillati; Bacillota; Bacilli; Lactobacillales; Lactobacillaceae
Description: bacterial SSU rRNA
Rfam family: Bacterial small subunit ribosomal RNA
Source: RNAcentral
AUUUCUUGGGGGGGGCAGCAGUAGGGAUUUUUCCCACAAUGGAAGAAAGUUUGAGGGAGCAACGCCGCUUGAAUGAAGAAGGUUUUCGGAUCGUAAAAUUCUGUUGUUAGAGAAGAACGUGUGUGAGAGUAACUGUUCAUGCAGUGACGGUAUCUAACCAGAAAGCCACGGCUAACUACGUGCCAGCAGCCGCGGUAAUACGUAGGUGGCAAGCGUUGUCCGGAUUUAUUGGGCGUAAAGGGAACGCAGGCGGUUUUUUAAGUCUGAUGUGAAAGCCUUCGGCUUAACCGAAGUCAUGCAUUGGAAACUGAAAGACUUGAGUGCAGAAGAGGAGAGUGGAACUCCAUGUGUAGCGGUGAAAUGCGUAGAUAUAUGGAAGAACACCAGUGGCGAAAGCGGCUCUCUGGUCUGUAACUGACGCUGAGGUUCGAAAGUGUGGGUAGCAAACAGGAUUAGAUACCCUGGUAGUCCACACCGUAAACGAUGAAUGCUAAGUGUUGGAGGGUUUCCGCCCUUCGGUGCUGCAGCUAACGCAUUAAGCAUUCCGCCUGGGGAGUACGACCGCAAGGUUGAAACUCAAAGGAAUUGACGGGGGCCCGCACAAGCGGUGGAGCAUGUGGUUUAAUUCGAAGCAACGCGAAGAACCUUACCAGGUCUUGACAUCUUCUGACAGCCUAAGAGAUUAGGUGUUCCCUUCGGGGACAGAAUGACAGGUGGUGCAUGGUUGUCGUCAGCUCGUGUCGUGAGAUGUUGGGUUAAGUCCCGCAACGAGCGCAACCCUUAUUAUUAGUUGCCAGCAUUAAGUUGGGCACUCUAGUGAGACUGCCGGUGACAAACCGGAGGAAGGUGGGGAUGACGUCAAAUCAUCAUGCCCCUUAUGACCUGGGCUACACACGUGCUACAAUGGACGGUACAACGAGUCGCGAAACCGCGAGGUUUAGCUAAUCUCUUAAAGCCGUUCUCAGUUCGGAUUGUAGGCUGCAACUCGCCUACAUGAAGUCGGAAUCGCUAGUAAUCGCGGAUCAGCAUGCCGCGGUGAAUACGUUCCCGGGCCUUGUACACACCGCCCGUCACACCAUGAGAGUUUGUAACACCCAAAGCCGGUGAGGUAACCUUUAUGGGGCCAGCCGUCUAAGUGGACAGAUAGUGA